RNAcentral lists this ribosomal RNA (484 nucleotides) under uncultured bacterium. RNAcentral describes it as "partial 16S ribosomal RNA". It matches the Rfam family "Bacterial small subunit ribosomal RNA", at positions 28 to 507 of the family's 1533-position model. The record is from RNAcentral.
AUUGAACGCUGGCGGCAUGCUUUACACAUGCAAGUCGAACGGCAGCGCGGGCUUCGGCCUGGCGGCGAGUGGCGAACGGGUGAGUAAUGCAUCGGAACGUGCCCAGUAGUGGGGGAUAGCCCGGCGAAAGCCGGAUUAAUACCGCAUACGACCUGAGGGUGAAAGCGGGGGACCGAAAGGCCUCGCGCUAUUGGAGCGGCCGAUGUCGGAUUAGCUAGUUGGUGGGGUAAAGGCUUACCAAGGCGACGAUCCGUAGCUGGUCUGAGAGGACGACCAGCCACACUGGGACUGAGACACGGCCCAGACUCCUACGGGAGGCAGCAGUGUGGAAUUUUGGACAAUGGGGGCAACCCUGAUCCAGCCAUGCCGCGUGCGGGAAGAAGGCCUUCGGGUUGUAAACCGCUUUUGUUCGGGAAGAAAUCCUCUGGGCUAAUACCCCGGGGGGAUGACGGUACCGGAAGAAUAAGCACCGGCUAACUACGUG